This is a long non-coding RNA of Ictalurus punctatus (channel catfish), 2284 nucleotides long. RefSeq lists it as uncharacterized. The record is from RefSeq and is a predicted model, not a curated record. Lineage: Eukaryota; Metazoa; Chordata; Actinopteri; Siluriformes; Ictaluridae. The transcript has 2 exons.
UCUUUAUUUUAUUUAUUGCAUUAUUAUUAUUAUUGUUAUUAUUAUUAUUAUUAUUGCACUUGUUCUAAUACAUAAUUGUUUCUAUAGCAACAGCUCAUACACAAGGACUUGUAAGGACUUGUACAGCGGACGCUCCACGUGAUGUAAAAUAAUCAUGCAUAGAUUUAAAAACAUGGUCUCAUUUAACCGAGAAAAACGUAUGAUUGUUGAUGUGAAGGUUUUUUCGUUGCUGUUGUUUUAAGAGACGUUUAUGUCACAACAUGUGUCAGUGCUUUGUGCCAGUCAUGGUGCUUCUGGGUUCUGUGUUAAGUUAAACGUUGUAAUGGUUACUACGGAUCAGGCCGUAUCACACCACCCCAGUGUGGAUUACUGUAGUAUAAACCACACCGUCUGUCAUGUUAUUCUGUCCUUCCUUAUUUUAUUUCAGAUUGUUUUUUGUUUUGUUUUCAAUAUAUAUUUUUGAAUUUUAGAGAUGGUAUUUUUGUUUGCCUAGAUUAAAACCAGCUGUGUAAACUAGCUAGUUGCGAGUUGAAUUGGAAUAAUUGUGAAUAUUUUGGUUUUGGGUCAUACAGACACUUUUAUAAUAGGCGUUCAUCCUGUAAUAGUGAGUGUUAUAGCGGUAGUGUGUUCGAGUGGGUAAACACGUCUAUUGUUUUGAGAAGUUUAUAUAACUCCAGCCCGGACAAGCCUGUGCUAAAAGGGAAUUUAGCGAUUAGUCUCUGACUUGCAACGUUCCAGUUUUCCCUCAUAGGAGUUCAUGACCUUAGUGACGUUUUAAAACCAUGUUUAUCAGAUUGUGCAAGAACAAUGAGUGUAUUGUGUGUAUUAACUUGGCACUCGGAACUGUCAGAUUAAUCCCCGUAGUGGAAAAGGCCACAGUGCAACCCAGUUAAAAAAUAUCUUGCAGUGGCGUUUUUCUACCAGAAGAGGCAGGAUUCUAAAACUUUACAUAAAUCAGCUGUAAAAAAUAAAGUGCCCAAAGUGCGUACUAACAAUAAACUUUGUCUUGUAGCGGUGAUCGUGUCAGUGUUGUUGACUCUUUAAACCUCAAAAGGCCCUAAAAAGAGAGACUAGAUUUGAAUUAACAUCAUUUGACCUCUUGCUUAUGUUGCUAUGAAUGCAGAGUGAUUGACAGCCAAAACUGUACCGUCGCUAUGCGUGCCACACGGGUAAAUCUCAACCUGCGUUGCCUGGCGAGUGAACGACAAUAAGCUGGCUGUCAUCCGAGUCAAACAAAACCGCGUAACCCGAGACCAAGGAGGAACGCUGUUCUGUAGUCAUAGGAAUCAUCUCCCCUCCUUCCACAACAGUGCCGAAGCAACACUACUUUACUCAUGACUUCAAACGCUUAGGCUCCAGAAACCUCCUGCCGUCAAACAUCAUCAGACUGCCAGAGUUUGAAGACGUCUUGCAUGACAUAUAAGUUUUUGUUGACUCGUUCAUCUUCUAACCCUGUUCAGGACAGCAAGAGCUUCUCUCAGAGUGCACCAUGGGGUGUAGCGCGAGUAAAUCCCUUAAAGUCGUAAAGGUCGCAGAAACCAUCGGGGAUGCCGACGAGAACGUCGACUCGAAGGGGUCGGACGAUGGAGAUGCGAACUCGAAAGCAGGGGACGAUGCCGACGACGCCGGGAACGACGAGAGCUGAUGACGUUUCUCCUGCACGCGUUACUUUUAAGACUCCAUAAAGUUCUCCACACCUGGAGGAUGAUCCUGGAUCCACUCAGAUCCAGAAGAUCCUGGAUCCCCAAGACCUAUAGAUGCAGUCCAGUACAAAAUUUUGCACCACCCCCCUUUUCCCAUUUUACAACAAUUACAGUGUACCUAGGUUUUAGAAAGAAAGAGAAUUUGAAGAAGUUAAAUAUGAAAUGUGGGUGUAUCCUGCAACAAGACAACAGGAUAAAUCAACAGAAAUCUAUUUUUGAAAAGAAGUGAAGAAGGCAGAGGUUGACGUCGGUGUGUGGUGAAUGUUACUAUUAGAAUUUAAAACCUCAAAAAAGGAUGCGAAAGAUGUAGAAGGGAAAUGCUGGGCAUACAUGCCUAGGAGACAUAUUUAAGAGGGGAGAUGAAAACUUUUGAACUGAUAUAAUUUGCACUCUUUUCACUUUUAAUAUCCCAACACAGUGUGACCAUUUUUCUGAUUUGAGUCUCAAUAACAAAGAAGCAUUUUUUUUUUUAAAAACAUAACUCCAAAUAUCUUGUGUUAAAUGUGUUAAAUUGUCUAGACGUGCUACACCUAGUGUCUAAAUGCUCAAUUAGCCAAAAUAAAUAAUCGACAUUGAAAAAA